Molecule: long non-coding RNA, 1962 nt
Filed under: Homo sapiens (human)
Lineage: Eukaryota; Metazoa; Chordata; Mammalia; Primates; Hominidae
Description: HSALNT0407061
Source: RNAcentral
UUUUUCUUAAGAUAAUUCCUCUCCAAGUUAUUAUGUGAGAACCCAACAAGGCCACCUUCAGUAACUGCAGUUGGGAAACUGAUGUGGCUCCAUCAUGCAGUUCUAAUUCAUCUUCUUCCUGGUACCUGCUCUAGUUACAUCAAGAAGUCAGGUUUGCACUGGUGUAUGGUUCUAUGUUGGAGGUCAGAGGUCGUCUCUGAGGUUACAUUGUCCAUCACUUGCUAGGAAAAAAAAAAUGGAUAAGGAAGACUCUUUGAAGAAAAACUCACAUUGGUGACUGUCUUUUGAGGAGUUGUCCAUGGUCAGCAAGGCAGUUCUGUCGCUAAGUAUCAUGAGUCUAGCAUGUGUGCUCAUGGAGCUGGAAUAUGGUGAGUAGGGGUGGUAGUGGGGAAGUACAGAGUGCCUGAUGGCUCUGCAGGGAGAGAACUAGGGCACCAUCAGGCUGAGUCUUAGAGCCUGGCAGGACUCAGGCCUGACAGAAUGCAGGAAUGCUGGAAUGGAAACUGAGGUAGCAACACAGUCACAUGAUUGGGUGGACACAGCAGCAAUUAGGAAACUCAGCAGCAGGUGCCACUUGAGAGGCAGAGACCCAGUCUUCCUGCCAGGGAUGUCUUUCCAGGGCCCACCCCCCAGGCCUUGAUCUCUGCUGCUGCCAAAAAUGGCAGGGCUGACACAGCAUCCUGGAGUGCCAGGGGCCUGUGGUCACAAAAGCUUCAUCUCAAAAGAAGCUAAGAGGGGGUCCAUUCUGGGGAAUACUCUGGACAGUGCUAUGAAGGGCAGCUGGGAAGAGAGCUGGCUCUCUGCUGCAUAUUGACUACUCGGGGGUACAAUUUUGUCUUGCCCUUACCCUUAUCCACCCAUAGCAAGCUCCGCAUUUGGUGAUGUUUGCUUGUUUCACUUUUUAUUUUGAAAUAAUUAAAACUUACAGGACAGGUGCAAGAAUAGUGUAAAUAACUCUUGUAUACCUUUAUCUAGAUUCACUAAUUGUUCAUAUUUUGUUGCAUUUAUCCCUUCUCUCCCCCACACUAAUUCAUGUUCAUAUAUAUGUGAAUUUUUUUGCUGAACCAUUUAGGAGUAGGCAGCUGUCAUCAAACUCCCUUUACCCCUUGCAUUUCCCAAGAAUGAGAAUAUUCUCUUGUAUAUGUACAGCUAUCAAAUUUAGAAAAUAUAAUAUUUAUUUCAUACUUUUAUGUAACCUGUGUCCCAAUAAUGCCCUUUAUCACAAUUUUCUUAAGGUUCACAAUCUAGUCCUGGAUCCCACAUUGCAUUUAGUUGUCCUGUCUCUUUUGUCCCCGUUAAUCAAGAACAGUUCAUAACUCUUCCUUUGUCUUCAGUGGCCUUGACAUUUUUGAAGAAUACCAGCCAGUUGUUUUAUAGAAUGUUCCUUAAUUUUGGUUUCUCUGAUGUUUCUUCACAUUUACAUUUGGAUUUAGGCAUUUUUCAGUUGGAAUGCUAUAUAGGCAUGUAAGUGAUUUGUUCUCUGGGGACCAUAUCAGGAGGCACAGAUGUCCAUUUGGCCCUUGUUGGUGAGGUCACAUUUGAUUAGUUAAGCUGGUGUCUGUGUAGCUGUUCUUUUUCCUUUUGUAAUGAACAAAUAUAAUUUGUUGGAAGAUAUUUUGACAUUAUGUAAAUAUCCCAUUCCUCAUCAAACUCUCUCCACCUAGCUUUAGCAUUCAUUGAGGAUUCUUGCCUGGAUAAUGAUUUACUCUAAUGGUUUCAUCCAUCAUCCCUUCUAUAUUUGUUAGUCCAAAAUAGUCUUUGAUUGGGUGGGAAGGCAUACUAAGCCUGCCGAUCUUAGUAGCUGAGCUCACAGGGAGGAAGGGCCUUGAUUUCCUCCUUGGACUCUGACUGACAGCUCUUUUGAAGCAGUCCUGUUCUGUUGGGUGUAUGUUUUGACACAUGUAGUAACUCAUUUUGGAAAUACUUAUUUUUUACUAGAUAACUUUCAAAUAAGUUUUUAAA